CACUGAGGUACCGGUUCGACAAAGUCGUCAUCCUCGUCUUCUCCAUCCGGAGUUUCAUGUGUCUGACCACCCGAAACACACAUAGGUACCGGUUCGACAAAGUCGUCAUCCUCGUAUACUCCAUUAGAGGUAUCAUGUGUCGGUCUAGACGAAACACAUUGAGGGACCUGCCCAACUAAAUCAUCACUGUCGUCAACUUCCCGAGUAUGCAUGUUGAACGGCUUUGGAGGAGUCUGGAGAACCAACAUUUGGGAGUUGUUGUCCAAACUUGGGUCCUCUUCUUGAUUUGGAUCUGAAUGAUUCU
RNAcentral lists this long non-coding RNA (304 nucleotides) under Brassica napus (rape). RNAcentral's name for it is "long non-coding RNA (BNAP_LNC000333)". The record is from RNAcentral. Lineage: Eukaryota; Viridiplantae; Streptophyta; Magnoliopsida; Brassicales; Brassicaceae.